GACGAACGCUGGCGGCGUGCUUAACACAUGCAAGUCGAGCGGAAAGGCCACUUCGGUGGUACUCGAGCGGCGAACGGGUGAGUAACACAUGAGUAAUCUGCCCCUGGCUUUGGGAUAGCCACCGGAAACGGGGAUUAAUACCGGAUACGACCACUUCUCGCAUGGGAUGGUGGUGGAAAGUUUUUUCGGCCAGGGAUGUGCUCGCGGCCUAUCAGCUUGAUGGUGAGGUAAUGGCUCACCAUGGCUUCGACGGGUAGCCGGCCUGAGAGGGUGACCGGUCACACUGGGACUGAGACACGGCCCAGACUCCUACGGGAGGCAGCAGUGGGGAAUAUUGGACAAUGGGCGGAAGCCUGAUCCAGCAACGCCGCGUGAGGGAUGACGGCCUUCGGGUUGUAAACCUCUUUCAGCAGGGACGAAGCGCAAGUGACGGUACCUGCAGAAGAAGCACCGGCCAACUACGUGCCAGCCGCCGCGGUAA
This 481-nucleotide ribosomal RNA is filed under the name uncultured bacterium. RNAcentral's name for it is "partial 16S ribosomal RNA". It matches the Rfam family "Bacterial small subunit ribosomal RNA", at positions 28 to 523 of the family's 1533-position model. The record is from RNAcentral.